GAUGGACGCUGGCGGCGUGCUUAACACAUGCAAGUCGAACGGGAAACCUUUUAUUGAAGCUUCGGCAGAUUUAGCUGGUUUCUAGUGGCGGACGGGUGAGUAACGCGUGGGUAACCUGCCUUAUACAGGGGGAUAACAGUCAGAAAUGGCUGCUAAUACCGCAUAAGCGCACAGAGCUGCAUGGCUCAGUGUGAAAAACUCCGGUGGUAUAAGAUGGACCCGCGUUGGAUUAGCUGGUUGGUGGGGUAACGGCCCACCAAGGCGACGAUCCAUAGCCGGCCUGGGAGGGUGAACCGCCACAUUGGGACUGAGACACGGCCCCGACUGCUACGGGGAGGAGCAGUGGGGAAUACUGCACAAUGGGGGAAACCCUGAUGCAGCGACGCGGCGUGAAGGAAGAAGUAGCUCGGUAUGUAAACUUCUAUCAGCAGGGAAGAUAAUGACGGUACCUGAAUAAGAAGCCCCGGCUAACUACGUG
This 478-nucleotide ribosomal RNA is filed under the name uncultured bacterium. RNAcentral's name for it is "partial 16S ribosomal RNA". It matches the Rfam family "Bacterial small subunit ribosomal RNA", at positions 28 to 507 of the family's 1533-position model. The record is from RNAcentral.